UAGCCUACACAGAUGUGACCCUU
RNAcentral lists this non-coding RNA (23 nucleotides) under Mus musculus (house mouse). The record is from RNAcentral. Lineage: Eukaryota; Metazoa; Chordata; Mammalia; Rodentia; Muridae.